ACCCACACAUUUACCCAACCCAACCCAACCCAACCCAACGUAUAUAUCCACAAUCCAUAAUAUCCAUUUACCCAUAACCAAAAUUCCCAGAUCUGAAUCCUAGGGCUUGCUCGACUGCUCUUCAAUCUCAGUCUCACCUCCAUCUCUACGUGAUUUCGUCCGCUGCCGAAUGCUCCAGUCUCUCUCCUCCUCUUUUCCAGUUUCCUUCUUCGCCAGAUGCUGGUUUGCUUCGCCCCUAUUAGUCUAUUUGGUUUUUUUUCUUUUCAAACCUUUUUGUUAGAAUUGGACAACGAAAACCAGAAGUUUGUGAGUGAUUAUACUCAAUGCUUUGGAUUUGUAUUGCUUGAGAGUAAUUUCUUGGCUAUACAAAGCUUUGGAAUUUUAACAAAAAUGUCCGUUGGUGAAGGUUACAGAACAGUGAGUCAGUGACGGCCUUGAUUUGCAAUUAACUAUUGCUUUACUUGCGUGGUUAUUGGUUAACCGUUAACAUGUGGCUGUAUAUUCCAUUGUGGUUUUGUGAUUGGAUUAUGGACAUUAGAAAUUUAAUUGAAUAGAUAUAAAUUUUCAUAAUUUCAAUAUAUUUGUCUUAAUGUACUUACAAUUAUUUAUUAUUAGCCACUUUUAAAUUUCUGAUAAAAAAAAUUACACUUCCUAUAUUGCUAUUUUAGUAAUCAGAUUGUAAAAGCUUUGCCGUUGCAACUCCUUCACUUAGUGAUCUGAUCCAAACAAAGAAAAGUAGACGGCAGAGGCGGAGAGAAACUAAAACGUUUUUUAAAGAAAUUGUGAAAAAAGAGAGAGAGAAAAUGAGUCAGAGAAGAUCCAUAAGUGGAAGGCCAUUGGGAACUGACGGCUCUGAUUUCUCCUACCGCAUGGUCGUCGACUCCAGUGAGAAACAAAUAGGCAGUAAUAAAAUAGAGGAUACCAAUCAGUGCAACAUCAUGAUCAGGGAGGGCUUCGACAAGAUCUAAGUCCGGCAUUUGGCAGGCAGAUAUAAAUGUGGACUUCACAUCUUCAUGUGUUACACUACCUACCUGAGAAAAGUAUUUUGUCUUCAAUUGUGACGGUCUACUUUCAAAAAUACUGAUGUCACUAUUGCCGGAACAUCUCAAUCCCGUGACCAGACAAAACUCAGCUAUAGAAAAUCUUACAUAUCGCUCGGCAACUAAAAACCACAAUUCUUCAGGAUUGGGUUGAUAUAC
This 1199-nucleotide long non-coding RNA is filed under the name Olea europaea (common olive). Its description in RNAcentral is "long non-coding RNA (OEUR_LNC011446)". The record is from RNAcentral. Lineage: Eukaryota; Viridiplantae; Streptophyta; Magnoliopsida; Lamiales; Oleaceae.